AUUGAACGCUGGCGGCAGGCCUAACACAUGCAAGUCGAGCGGAUGAAGGGAGCUUGCUCCUGGAUUCAGCGGCGGACGGGUGAGUAAUGCCUAGGAAUCUGCCUGGUAGUGGGGGAUAACGUCCGGAAACGGGCGCUAAUACCGCAUACGUCCUGAGGGAGAAAGUGGGGGAUCUUCGGACCUCACGCUAUCAGAUGAGCCUAGGUCGGAUUAGCUAGUUGGUGGGGUAAAGGCCUACCAAGGCGACGAUCCGUAACUGGUCUGAGAGGAUGAUCAGUCACUCUGGAACUGAGACACGGUCCAGACUCCUACGGGAGGCAGCAGUGGGGAAUAUUGGACAAUGGGCGAAAGCCUGAUCCAGCCAUGCCGCGUGUGCGAAGAAGGUCUUCGGAUUGUAAAGCACUUUAAGUUGGGAGGAAGGGCAGUAAGUUAAUACCUUGCUGUUUUGACGUUACCAACAGAAUAAGCACCGGCUAACUUCGUG
Molecule: ribosomal RNA, 484 nt
Filed under: uncultured bacterium
Lineage: Bacteria
Description: partial 16S ribosomal RNA
Rfam family: Bacterial small subunit ribosomal RNA
Source: RNAcentral